GACGAACGCUGGCGGCGUGCUUAACACAUGCAAGUCGAACGGUGAAGCUCCAGCUUGCUGGGGUGGAUCAGUGGCGAACGGGUGAGUAACACGUGAGCAACCUGCCCCGGACUCUGGAAUAAGCGCUGGAAACGGCGUCUAAUACUGGAUACGAGAACGCUCCGCAUGGGCACUUUCUGGAAAUUUGUUCGGUUGGGGAUGGGCUCGCGGCCUAUCAGCUUGUUGGUGAGGUAAUGGCUUACCAAGGCGACGACGGGUAGCCGGCCUGAGAGGGCGACCGGCCACACUGGGACUGAGACACGGCCCAGACUCCUACGGGAGGCAGCAGUGGGGAAUAUUGCACAAUGGGCGAAAGCCUGAUGCAGCGACGCCGCGUGAGGGAUGACGGCCUUCGGGUUGUAAACCUCUUUCAGCAGCGAAGAAGCGAAAGUGACGGUACCUGCAGAAGAAGCACCGGCUAACUACGUG
Molecule: ribosomal RNA, 468 nt
Filed under: uncultured bacterium
Lineage: Bacteria
Description: partial 16S ribosomal RNA
Rfam family: Bacterial small subunit ribosomal RNA
Source: RNAcentral